Molecule: non-coding RNA, 32 nt
Filed under: Mus musculus (house mouse)
Lineage: Eukaryota; Metazoa; Chordata; Mammalia; Rodentia; Muridae
Source: RNAcentral
UGAUUGAUUGUGACUUUUAAUUCCCAAAGACU